GACGAACGCUGGCGGCGUGCUUAACACAUGCAAGUCGAACGGAAGGGCCCUGCUUUUGUGGGUUGCUCGAGUGGCGAACGGGUGAGUAACACGUGAGUAUCCUGCCCUUGACUUUGGGAUAACUUCAGGAAACUGGGGCUAAUACCGGAUAUGAGCUCCUGCUGCAUGGUGUGGGUUGGAAAGUUUCGGCGGUUGGGGCUGGGCUCGCUGCUUAUCAGCUUGUUUGUGUGGUAGUGACUUACCAAGGCUUUGACGGGUAGCCGGCCUGAGAGGGUUAACGGGCACAAUAGGACUGAGAUAGGGGCCAGAAUCCUACGGGAGGCAGCAGUGGAGAAUAUUGCAGAAUGGGGGGAAGCGUGAUGCAGAGACGCCGCGUGCGGGAUGACGGCCUACGGGGUGUAAACCGCUUUCGCCUGUGACGAAGCGGGAGUGACGGUAAUGGGUAAAGAAGCAACGGCUAACUACGUG
This 468-nucleotide ribosomal RNA is filed under the name uncultured bacterium. RNAcentral describes it as "partial 16S ribosomal RNA". It matches the Rfam family "Bacterial small subunit ribosomal RNA", at positions 28 to 507 of the family's 1533-position model. The record is from RNAcentral.